This 365-nucleotide unclassified non-coding RNA is filed under the name uncultured Orbiliaceae. Its description in RNAcentral is "sequence contains ITS1". The stretch from base 1 to 105 matches the Rfam family "5.8S ribosomal RNA", at positions 50 to 154 of the family's 154-position model. The record is from RNAcentral. Lineage: Eukaryota; Fungi; Ascomycota; Orbiliomycetes; Orbiliales.
GAAACGCGAUAGGUAAUGUGAAUUGCAGAAUUCCGUGAAUCAUCGAAUCUUUGAACGCACAUUGCGCCUUCUGGUAUUCCGGUAGGCAUGCCUGUUUGAGCGUCAGCAAAACACCCUCAGCCCCCGGUUUUGUUAUCGGGUGGAUGGUCUUGGGCAGCGGAUGCCGGCGGUGAUUUAUUUCCGCCUGCGCCCUCCCUAAACUUGCUGCACGACCGCAAGCCCCUUCUAGCCAGGUCAAUGGAGUGGUGUUACAAUCUUCCAAAAAGCCUGCUGGUGACUGCUUCGCGGCGUUAAACGUGAUGUCUUCCCUUGUGGGAGACUGAAGUUUUGACCUCAGAUCAGACAAGGAUACCCGCUGAACUUAA